Molecule: long non-coding RNA, 2640 nt
Organism: Helicoverpa armigera (cotton bollworm)
Lineage: Eukaryota; Metazoa; Arthropoda; Insecta; Lepidoptera; Noctuidae
Exons: 2
Source: RefSeq, a predicted model, not a curated record
UAGGGACACGAUAUCGAAUCCGAUACUUUACUCAUAUCGCUACCUUUUGAUUCGAUACUAGUAUUCAGAAAUUCGAUACUUCCUUUCGAUACUUAGUACUCAUAUCAGUACUUAGCAUCUAGUAUCGAUUCCAUAAAAAAAAAAUGAAACGAGCAACUAACUCAUAAAUACCAAUUUAACGCAUUUUAACGUUCCUACAUAGGUAUUCAGAACACAACGUAAUUUAAAAAAACAUAAAAAUAAAUAAACGCAAUAUAGUACUGCCAACAUGACGGCAAAGGCCUUAUAAAACGAUGAAACGGAAUGGGCAAUACCAAUACCAAGUAGUCACAUGACUCACAUCCAUGAUCCAUCUAUAUAAUCUGUGGUAGCCAUUUUGUUUUAUUGUCAAUCACGCAAAACACGCAUGUAUCGACACUCAGAACAAUAAUUGAAAUUUGCAUUAGUUUCGUUCACGUAUUGAUGAUAAUUAUUUCAUUUGGAGAACCUGCAGUGAACGGAGUGAACCUUAGUGGGACUGUGAUGAGAUUUAUUUGAAGUUUUAUUGAAGUAAUUGUGGACAGUCUAGUUUACACGCUGCAAGAAUGGCGCCUCCCCAAAGCGAGAUAUGGAAAUAUUUUAAGAAAAUAAGUAAUGAACAAGCGUCAUGUAAGACCUGCUUUAAAAUAAUAAAAACAAGUGGGAAUACGUCUAACAUGAAAAAACAUGUGAAGCAGCACUCAAACAGUUCCUUGGACGAAGUCAGUUCACCUAAACCUCGGUUACUGCAACAGCAACUGAAAAGGCAUUGUACAACAACUGCAGAUUCUGCUACAGCUGCUACUUCUUCCACUUCAACAGAUAAUUCUCUUCCUUCAACUUCUUCCACUGUUGAUUCUAUAUGUAAUACAAUUUCUUCUGAACAAUUUGACAAGGACACUGCUGAAAACAUUAAAAUUGCUUCACAAGUCACACCAUCCCAGAAACAAAAACAAAUGUCAAUCACAGAAACUUUGAAUCGUAAAAUGUUAUACUCUGAAGGAGGAUCUAGGCAUUCCUUAUUAUGUAAGUUACUUUUAUACUUUAUAUGUGUCGACAAAAGACCAUUUGAUAUCGUCAAAGGAAGAGGAUUUCGCCGACUCAUAAAGCAAUUAUGCCCUACUUUCAAAAUUCCUAGUGUAGAUACACUUAAAAGUCGUCUAGAUGACUUAUACGAUGUGAUGGUGUUGAAAACUCGACAAGACAUAGAAAAUGUAGGUUACAUAUCCCUUACAUGUGAUAUUUGGACUGAAACAAUGACCAUGACAAGUUAUCUUGGUGUUACUGCACAUUACUAUCAUCAAAAUGAAUUAAAAGCAAAGGUGUUAGCUACAGUCGAAUUAGAUGAGAGGCACACAGCUAUCUACAUAGCUCACAAUUUAGAUAAUAUUUGUGAUUCUUUUAAUAUUACAAAAGAAAAAAUAACUAGUGUAGUAACAGACAAUGCCGCAAAUAUGAUAGCAGCAAUCAACAUGUUUUUGGACAGAUCAAAACACCUUCCUUGUUUCGCACAUACCAUUAACUUGAUUUUUGAAAGUAUUAUGAAAAUUGAAGAGUUUGUGUCCUUAUGUAAUAAAAUCAGAAAAGUUGUUAAAUUUUUUCGUGACAGUGUUAUACAAAGUGACAUAUUACGAUCAAAACAAGGUGAUAAUCCUCUAAAAUUGAUUCUUGAUGUAAGCACACGGUGGAAUUCGGUCUAUUUCAUGAUAGAAAGGUAUGUAAAAUUAGCUCCAAUAAUUCAUCCAAUAUUAGUUAUGAAUCCUAAGGCGCCACCAACUCCAUCUGCAAAUGACCUAGAAAACUUAAAUAAAAUACUAAAAAUAUUAAAACCUAUUGAAUAUGUCACGCGCGAAAUGUCGGGGGAGAAUUAUGUCACGGCAAGUAAAAUCAUCCCUAUAAUAAACUGUUUAAAAUCACAAAUAUCAUCUGCUGAAGUAGAAAUAGAAGAAGAGGAAUGUGAAGUAAUUAAUAAAGUCAAGGAUACGAUUUUAAACCAAAUAAAACAGAGAUUUGGUCAUGUGGAAGAUAAUUACAUAAUAGCGGUUUCUUGUAUUUUGGAUCCUCGAUUCAAAACCUUACAUUUUACGGAUCCAAAAGCAUGCGCUAAAGCGCUAUCGGUUAUUCGAAGGAAUAUGAAAGACUAUAUUACAAGUAGUGGCGAAGAGAGUGACGUUGCUGAGUCAAAUGAUUCAAACCUGCCGCCGGAAUACGAUUUUUGGAGACUCCAUAAAAAUUUAGCACAUGGUAAAAAUAAAAAAAAGUCCAAAUGGGAUGCAGCGGGUGCAGAAAAGGAUGAGCUUUCUCUGUAUUUGGCAAACCCCGUGGGCCCUCUUACCGUCAACCCACACAUACAAUGGGAAGAUAUGAAAACUAUUUUUCCAUUACUGUAUAAACAGGCUCAGCAAUAUCUUCACUCACCUGCUACAUCUGUACCCUCAGAGAGGUUAUUUUCGAAGGCAGGAGUAACACUAAGUAGAGCAAGAAACAGACUUAAAGGAAAAAGAGUUAAUAAACUCUUGUUCCUCGGUGACUGUACUGAAGAAGAGUGGAAUAUUUAAGUGCUUUUGUUUAUAUCUUCUCCAUGAUCUGUUUGCUAGAAAUAAAACCUUUUUUUGUGUCUAA